GGACCCACCAGAAGGUCUGUACGGACCCACUCAAGGGGACGUACUCAAUAUGUAUUAGGACAUGAAGACUAUGCUAUAGGGAAACAUAGACUACAUGGAACUCCUCAAGGACUUGUCGGAAUACAAGGAAACUACUCUGCCGAGUUAGAGUAGGACUCUAUAGUCUUGUCCGACUAGUACUCUUGUACUCAAAGCUACCCUGUAACCCUACUCCCCGAAUAUAUAAGGGUGGGAGGGAC
This 239-nucleotide long non-coding RNA is filed under the name Setaria italica (foxtail millet). RNAcentral describes it as "long non-coding RNA (SITA_LNC002359)". The record is from RNAcentral. Lineage: Eukaryota; Viridiplantae; Streptophyta; Magnoliopsida; Poales; Poaceae.